RNAcentral lists this ribosomal RNA (432 nucleotides) under uncultured Clostridium sp. RNAcentral describes it as "bacterial SSU rRNA". It matches the Rfam family "Bacterial small subunit ribosomal RNA", at positions 958 to 1392 of the family's 1533-position model. The record is from RNAcentral. Lineage: Bacteria; Bacillati; Bacillota; Clostridia; Eubacteriales; Clostridiaceae.
AACGCGAAGAACCUUACCUAGACUUGACAUCUCCUGCAUUACUCUUAAUCGAGGAAGUCCCUUCGGGGACAGGAUGACAGGUGGUGCAUGGUUGUCGUCAGCUCGUGUCGUGAGAUGUUGGGUUAAGUCCCGCAACGAGCGCAACCCUUAUUGUUAGUUGCCAUCAUUAAGUUGGGCACUCUAGCGAGACUGCCCGGGUUAACCGGGAGGAAGGUGGGGAUGACGUCAAAUCAUCAUGCCCCUUAUGUCUAGGGCUACACACGUGCUACAAUGGUCGGUACAAUAAGACGCAAGCCCGCAAGGGGGAGCAAAACUGGAAAACCGAUCUCAGUUCGGAUUGUAGGCUGAAACUCGCCUACAUGAAGUUGGAAUUGCUAGUAAUCGCGGAUCAGCAUGCCGCGGUGAAUACGUUCCCGGGUCUUGUACACACCG